Molecule: ribosomal RNA, 446 nt
Filed under: uncultured bacterium
Lineage: Bacteria
Description: partial 16S ribosomal RNA
Rfam family: Bacterial small subunit ribosomal RNA
Source: RNAcentral
GUCCAGACUCCUACGGGAGGCAGCAGUGGGGAAUAUUGCACAAUGGGGGAAACCCUGAUGCAGCGACGCCGCGUGAGUGAAGAAGUAUUUCGGUACGUAAAGCUCUAUCAGCAGGGAAGAAAAUGACGGUACCUGACUAAGAAGCCCCGGCUAACUACGUGCCAGCAGCCGCGGUAAUACGUAGGGGGCAAGCGUUAUCCGGAUUUACUGGGUGUAAAGGGAGCGUAGACGGCUGUGCAAGCCAGAUGUGAAAGCCCGGGGCUCAACCCCGGGACUGCAUUUGGAACUGUGUGGCUGGAGUGUCGGAGAGGCAGGCGGAAUUCCUAGUGUAGCGGUGAAAUGCGUAGAUAUUAGGAGGAACACCAGUGGCGAAGGCGGCCUGCUGGACGAUGACUGACGUUGAGGCUCGAAAGCGUGGGGAGCAAACAGGAUUAGAUACCCCCGUA